RNAcentral lists this ribosomal RNA (1499 nucleotides) under uncultured bacterium. Its description in RNAcentral is "bacterial SSU rRNA". It matches the Rfam family "Bacterial small subunit ribosomal RNA". The record is from RNAcentral.
UGGUUUGAUUCUGGCUCAGGAUGAACGCUGGCGGCAUGCCUAAUACAUGCAAGUCGAACGGAGUGAAGCCUUCGGGUUUCAUUCAGUGGCGAACGGGUGAGUAAUACGCAGGGAACCUGGCCAUGGCAGGGGGAUACACUCUGGAAACGGAGCAUAAGACCCCAUAGGCAGUAAGGCGGCAUCGCCUUACUGUUAAAGAAAGCUGAAAGGCUUUGGCGAUGGAUGGACCUGCGGUGCAUUAGCUUGUUGGUGAGGCAACGGCUUACCAAGGCGAUGAUGCAUAGCCGGCCUGAGAGGGCGGACGGCCACACUGGGACUGAGACACGGCCCAGACUCCUGCGGGAGGCAGCAGUAGGGAAUUUUCGUCAAUGGGCGCAAGCCUGAACGAGCAAUGCCGCGUGAGUGAGGAAGGUCUUCGGACUGUAAAGCUCUGUUGCCGGGGAAAAAGGGGAAAUGCAGGAAAUGGCAUUUCAUGGAUGGUACCCGGCCAGAAAGCCACGGCUAACUACGUGCCAGCAGCCGCGGUAAUACGUAGGUGGCGAGCGUUAUCCGGAAUGAUUGGGCGUAAAGGGUGCGCAGGCGGUCUGUUAAGUCUGAAGGCAAAGGGAUGAGCUCAACUCAUUUAUGAUUCAGAAACUGGCAGACUUGAGGACAGGAGAGGGCGGUGGAACUCCAUGUGUAGCGGUAAAAUGCGCAGAGAUAUGGAAGAACACCAGUGGCGAAGGCGGCCGCCUGGCCUGUGACUGACGCUGAGGCACGAAAGCGUGGGGAGCAAAUAGGAUUAGAUACCCUAGUAGUCCACGCCGUAAACGAUGAGGAGCAGGUGUUGGGAGUGAAAUCUCAGUGCCGAAGCCAACGCAGUGACUCCUCCGCCUGGGGAGUAUGCACGCAAGUGUGAAACUCAAAGGAAUUGACGGGGGCCCGCACAAGCGGUGGAGUAUGUGGUUUAAUUCGAAGCAACGCGAAGAACCUUACCAGGUUUUGACAUCGGAUGCGAAGGCGCAGAGAUGCGCUGGAGGCUAUCAUCCAGACAGGUGGUGCAUGGUUGUCGUCAGCUCGUGUCGUGAGAUGUUCAGUUAAGUCUGGCAACGAGCGCAACCCCCGUGGUAUGUUACUAACGCAUUUGGGCGAGGACUCAUAUCAGACUGCCGGUGACAAACCGGAGGAAGGCGGGGAUGACGUCAAAUCAUCAUGCCCCUUAUGACCUGGGCUACACACGUACUACAAUGGCGUCUACAGAGGGAAGCGACCCUGAGAAGGGAAGCGAAACCGGAAAAGGGCGUCCCAGUUCGGAUUGAAGUCUGCAACCCGACUUCAUGAAGAUGGAAUCGCUAGUAAUCGCGGAUCAGCAUGCCGCGGUGAAUACGUUCCCGGGCCUUGUACACACCGCCCGUCAAACCAUGGAAGCCGGCAACGCCCGAAGCCGGUGGCAUAACCUUUUAGGAGUGAGCCGUCGAAGGCGGGGCCGAUGACUGGGGUUAAGUCGUAAAAAGGUAACC